UUGGAGGGCAAGUCUGGUGCCAGCAGCCGCGGUAAUUCCAGCUCCAAUAGCGUAUAUUAAAGUUGUUGCAGUUAAAAAGCUCGUAGUUGAAUUUCGGGGUUCUUCCGUUGGUCAGGCUAACAAGUCUGUACUAGCGUGUAGAAUCUCUACCUCCUGGGGAACCAUCAUAUUAUUAAUUUAGCGUGGUGGGAAACCAGGACCUUUACCUUGAAAAAAUUAGAGUGUUCAAAGCAGGCUUACGUCUGAAUACAUUAGCAUGGAAUAAUAAAAUAGGACGGUGGUCCUGUUUUGUUGGUUUCUGAAUCACCGUAAUGAUUAAUAGGGAUAGUUGGGGGCAUUAGUAUUCAAUUGUCAGAGGUGAAAUUCUUGGAUUUAUUGAAGACUAACUUCUGCGAAAGCAUUUGCCAAGGAUGUUUUCAUUAAUCAAGAACGAAAGUUAGGGGAUCGAAGACGAGCAGAUACCGUCGUAGUCUUAACCAUAAACUAUGCCGACUAGGGAUCGGACGAUGUUAAAUUUUAUUGACUCGUUCGGCGCCUUACGGGAAAC
This 547-nucleotide ribosomal RNA is filed under the name uncultured Glomeromycotina. RNAcentral describes it as "SSU rRNA". It matches the Rfam family "Eukaryotic small subunit ribosomal RNA", at positions 548 to 1098 of the family's 1831-position model. Lineage: Eukaryota; Fungi; Glomeromycota. The record is from RNAcentral.